This 482-nucleotide ribosomal RNA is filed under the name uncultured bacterium. RNAcentral describes it as "partial 16S ribosomal RNA". It matches the Rfam family "Bacterial small subunit ribosomal RNA", at positions 30 to 507 of the family's 1533-position model. The record is from RNAcentral.
AUUGAACGCUGGCGGCAUGCUUUACACAUGCAAGUCGAACGGUAACAGGCCGCAAGGUGCUGACGAGUGGCGAACGAGUGAGUAAUGCAUCGGAACGUGCCCAGUCGUGGGGGAUAACUACUCGAAAGAGUAGCUAAUACCGCAUACGAUCUAUGGAUGAAAGCGGGGGACCGUAAGGCCUCGCGCGAUUGGAGCGGCCGAUGUCAGAUUAGGUAGUUGGUGGGGUAAAGGCUCACCAAGCCAACGAUCUGUAGCUGGUCUGAGAGGACGACCAGCCACACUGGGACUGAGACACGGCCCAGACUCCUACGGGAGGCAGCAGUGGGGAAUUUUGGACAAUGGGCGCAAGCCUGAUCCAGCAAUGCCGCGUGCAGGAAGAAGGCCUUCGGGUUGUAAACUGCUUUUGUACGGAACGAAACGGCUCUGGUUAAUACCCGGGGCUAAUGACGGUACCGUAAGAAUAAGCACCGGCUAACUACGUG